CCCUUCUCCAUGGAUGCGUUUUCUAAUCAUUUCACAUGAUUGAGCCUCCAGCAAGUGAUGCUUUACUUAAUUCCUUUCCGCCUGUAGGGUGUGAGGUUUGGAGGGCCUCUCGUCAAAACUUUGGAGGGCUCUGUCAGUUUGAAAAGAACAUGACCUUUAAAUUGUAUCAGUAUGUUUGCUGGUGCAUAAGGGAGAGGAAAAGGUUCGUCCUGAUGGAAAACCACUCAGAAGCCAAGGAGUAAUUCAGAGGGAACCAGCCCAGGAAGAAUCAAGAAAGCUGCCCACAGUGUCAUUCUUCAGCUGAGAAAAGAGAGAGUUGACUAACUCCUCGGACUGGAGUGAGGACUCACAGAGGUGGUAGGACACUAACCAUCUAUGUCUCCAUUUCCUGGGUUGUAACACUGAGGUAGAACAUCUCACUGUCCCAUGGAGGAUUAUGUUAUUUUUGGAGAUUAAUAAUUUUGGAGGAAGAAAGGUGGCUUCCUGAAAAGGAAGUCACAUGAAGAAGCAACUUACACGGUGGUCUCUUUAAAUAAACAUAUUGUGACU
This 549-nucleotide long non-coding RNA is filed under the name Homo sapiens (human). RNAcentral describes it as "non-protein coding LINC01837:30". Lineage: Eukaryota; Metazoa; Chordata; Mammalia; Primates; Hominidae. The record is from RNAcentral.